Long non-coding RNA from Pan troglodytes (chimpanzee), 1637 nucleotides. RefSeq lists it as uncharacterized. NCBI's taxonomy places the organism in Eukaryota, Metazoa, Chordata, Mammalia, Primates, Hominidae. The record is from RefSeq and is a predicted model, not a curated record. The transcript has 3 exons.
GGGAGAGCGCGCCCACGGGUUCACAGCGCUCCCGGGCCCCACUGCGGCGCAGCCACAAAUCGCUUCGCGCUGCAGCAGACCCUCCCGCCGCGGGGGGCGACUGGGGGAGGGGUCUCGACCGCCACCCUGAGUUCCGCAGCUGGAUCCCUCCCAUCUGGGAGGUGGUUCUAGCUCUAGUCCCAAGCUUUCCACUGCAGUGAUGGCGGGGAUGGGGGCAGCACGUCAAAUCACCUGUAGGGCUUUUUAGAACUCCACAGCCCCCUCCCCUAAUUCUAUUCCACUAGUUCAAACGAAGAAAAUCUCAGACUAGGCAAGGGGAGGUGGACCGGUGGAGUCUGCGAAAGCACCACAGGUGACUCCGGGUACGCACUCCUCAGGACACAAACACACACACGGACACAUCUUGUGACUCUGAGACUACACAGAUCAACCUUAGAUUCGACCCUUCCCUCCUUUAUUCUCUGGGGUGUCCGUGUUCUUUUCAGCUUCCCUUUAAGUCGCCCUGCGCAGGGGCUUUGUGGAGUGCCCCCAAAGUCCUAGAACCCCGCGGGACGGUCGGAGGCUUUGGCGGCCAGACAUUAGGAAAAGCAUCUCCUGCUUCUCGGACUGCCCGGAGCGCGAACUGGAUAUCAAGGAGCCAAGGUUCCCAUGGCAACCCCAUUAAAUUGCCCAAACGCAGUGGUGAGCAGGAAGCAAGGAAAACCAAGAUGGAACAAGAACUUCUAUCAGACCCAUGACCACAUUUCCCCAGACUUGGAGGAAUCUGGGGAAUGGUGCACCUGGGAGACUCCUGGCCUCUGUAAUAACCCUCAUGUAGCACAGAAGGCAGAGAAACAGCAACCCCACCAGGCUUCCCAGGCCUGAGGAACAAAGAGGGCCUGGACAGCGAGCAUCUCAGCAGGAACUGAGACGAACGGUGGCUUGAAGGGUGGGGACGCCUUCCUGCAUCUUUUUCUCUGGUGGAGAAGACAGAGAGGCCUUUGCUCUCUUUCCUGGAGCUGAGGUUUGGACAGUGAGGAGAAGCUCCAAAAGAAACUGAGAGUGAAUUACUGUACCCAUCAGAAUCAAGUCUCCAAGUAAGAUUUAACUUAAUUUAGAAGAAAGGUAACCUUACUUUCCCAAUGUUAUGGACUAAGCUUCGUACUGUGUACAUAUGUAUAGAAAAAUACUAGGUACUUGUAUUAAUCAUGCCUUUUACUUUCUGUAUUCUGAUGCUUUGGCAUCUGGGGCCUUGCUGACUCUGGAGGGACUGCCCCUCCCUGGAUGAGUCAAUUCCUAGAGACAGCGAACAACUUGUCCAUGAGUAUGUCUUGGAAAUGCAAACCAAUCAAUCCAGAGCCCAAGCUCCAGCCACCUCCAUGAUAAGGCUCUGGGUCACUACUCACCUGCCCUAAUCAUCCCAGGGCCAGGACCAGACAACAGAGACAGCCCCUAUGCACCAGAGCCACUGGAAUUAUUUAAACCAGUCAAUCUGAAGCCCCCUUACCCUGCCUGACCUGUUCCUUCCCAUGAAACCACAAUAAGAGCUCUUGCCCACAGUUUACCCCUCCUUCCGCCUCCUGAUGUUUCCCUGUGGCCCUCUCCCCCCAUGGCAUGGCAUGCACCCUCCUUUUAGGAACUGUAAUAAACUAUCUCUU